Long non-coding RNA from Apis cerana (Asiatic honeybee), 1486 nucleotides. RefSeq lists it as uncharacterized. Lineage: Eukaryota; Metazoa; Arthropoda; Insecta; Hymenoptera; Apidae. The record is from RefSeq and is a predicted model, not a curated record.
UUUAUCUGAAAGCACUGCUGAAAAUAAUAUCGUUCGAAAGUUAAUUCUGUCGAUAUCAACAAACGACACGUGAUUCAUAACCUAGAAAUUUUCAACGCGAACCUAUUUCUAUAUCGUUACGAAAUACAUAGCACCUUAAAAUUAGCAACGUUACACUUCGACUUAUUGGGAGAAAGUAAUAUCGAUAAUAUUCUUAAAACUGGUAUUUAAUAUUUUAUUAUCGAAUAAUCGAAUAAUCGAAGAAUAAUCGUCUCGGCAUUAAUAUUUUCGAUACUUCGUAUCGCAAAAUUGUAUUGCAAACAAUCCUUGCAUUUAUAACCUCUCCUCUUUCAAAUCCAUCUGUAAUUGAAAUAUUCGAAUAUUCUUUUACAUCUAAUGUAAUUUGAUUUAAUUAACUUAGAAUAUAUAUACGGAUAAAACAAGGGAUAUUAUAUCGUUACAAAACGAAUCCAUCAAUUGAAAAUUCUUUAUUUGACGAGGUUUAAAAAGUGACACGCAACUUUCCCUUCGAUCUAAUACGAAACGGAUUCGAUGUAUAUAUAUUCGAGCGUUGUCAACUCGAGAGAGCGAUAAGUAAAAAAAAAAAAAAAAGAAAAAAGAAAUCGAGUGGUCUCGAAGAUCGUAUCUACGCGAAAUAUGAAAUAAUAAAGGAUCGGAAUAUGGAAAGUAAUUAGGUUGCAAGUUAUAGUCUCAAAAGUAUUUAAAUGUAUGCGUUUUGUGAAAAAUUAGAUUGGAAUUGAAAUAGUUGUCUGAAACGCAGCAUGCGUUAUUGAAACCGGCUUGUAUAUUGUUAAAUAAUUUCUCGAAGUAAAGUACAUUUAAAAUUGAAUACGCGUUGACAAAAACUUGAUCCGUUCUCUUUAUUCGUUUUAUGGAAAUUUAUAUGUUGGAAAUAUCGAGCGCGUAGAGAUAAAUUAUCCUGAAAAUAAAUCUUUCAUUGUCCAUUGGAUGGGUUCAAAGAAUCACGACCUAAAUAUUUAAAGAAGGAAAUAAAAAAAAACUCACGUGUCAAAGAUCAAAGUGUUAAACAGCCAGAAGAUUUUUAAAAUAUUUUUGAAAUUAACUGUAUAUACUGUCGAUUGAUUAGUCUUAAAACACGUUUUCAAAUGUUUGAAUAUAUUCUACCAAACUUUGAAAUCACUUGGCAUAUCUGAUUGGAUCGCGAGCGAAAUGAAAUCGGCCUCUCGACGUAAUUAGAAGCUAUUAGACACACAUGGUGAUCGCGUGAAAUCUACAAAUCGUUCGAUUUUAUUCCAAGUUCGAUACGGAGAAUAAUUUAAAUAAAAAAAUCAGCAUGGUAGAGUUAUCUUUAGAUGUUUUUCGUGAUGAUUUUUCUCGAAUGACUGAAAAUGAUACGUAUACUUUUAUUUUUUUCUCUCUUUUAUCGAAAUCUAAUUUUUCGAUUCACAAAAUGUAAUUGUGAAACUACAUUCGAUACGAGAUGUAACGAUUUUAGUUUGAAAAAUAUGAUACACUUUCAUUAAUC